RNAcentral lists this ribosomal RNA (404 nucleotides) under Fusobacteriota bacterium. Its description in RNAcentral is "Fusobacteria bacterium partial 16S ribosomal RNA". It matches the Rfam family "Bacterial small subunit ribosomal RNA", at positions 355 to 776 of the family's 1533-position model. Lineage: Bacteria; Fusobacteriati; Fusobacteriota. The record is from RNAcentral.
UGGGGAAUAUUGCACAAUGGGGGAAACCCUGAUGCAGCGACGCCGCGUGGAGGAAGAAGGUCUUCGGAUUGUAAACUCCUGUCCUAGGGGACGAUAAUGACGGUACCCUGGGAGGAAGCACCGGCUAACUACGUGCCAGCAGCCGCGGUAAAACGUAGGGUGCAAGCGUUGUCCGGAAUUACUGGGUGUAUAGGGAGCGCAGGCGGAUUGGCAAGUUGGGAGUGAAAUCUAUGGGCUCAACCCAUAAAUUGCUUUCAAAGCUGUCAGUCUUGAGUGGUGUAGAGGUAGGCGGAAUUGCCGGUGUAGGGGUGGAAUGCGUAGAUAGCGGGAGGAACACCAGUGGCGAAGGCGGCCUACUGGGCACUAACUGACGCUGAGGCUCGAAAGCAUGGGUAGCAAACAGG